This 505-nucleotide ribosomal RNA is filed under the name uncultured bacterium. RNAcentral describes it as "bacterial SSU rRNA". It matches the Rfam family "Bacterial small subunit ribosomal RNA", at positions 28 to 492 of the family's 1533-position model. The record is from RNAcentral.
GACGAACGCUGGCGGCGUGCCUAAUACAUGCAAGUCGAACGCACUCUCGUUUAGAUUGAAGGAGCUUGCUCCUGAUUGAUAAACAUUUGAGUGAGUGGCGGACGGGUGAGUAACACGUGGGUAACCUGCCCUAAAGUGGGGGAUAACAUUUGGAAACAGAUGCUAAUACCGCAUAAAACCUAACACCGCAUGGUGUAGGGUUGAAAGAUGGUUUCGGCUAUCACUUUAGGAUGGACCCGCGGUGCAUUAGUUAGUUGGUGAGGUAAAGGCUCACCAAGACCGUGAUGCAUGGCCGACCUGAGAGGGUAAUCGGCCACACUGGGACUGAGACACGGCCCAGACUCCUACGGGAGGCAGCAGUAGGGAAUCUUCCACAAUGGACGAAAGUCUGAUGGAGCAACGCCGCGUGAGUGAAGAAGGUUUUCGGAUCGUAAAACUCUGUUGUUGGAGAAGAAUGUAUCUGAUAGUAACUGAUCAGGUAGUGACGGUAUCCAACCAGAAAGCC